CUCAAUGAAAUAUUUAAAUAGCCGCAAUUUUUAUUGUGCUAAGGUAGCAUAAUCAUUUGCCUUUUAAUUAAAGGCUAGAAUGAAGGAUUUAACAUUUCAAUCCCUUUAUUAAUUAUAUCUUCUUAAUUUAUUCUAAAUAUAAAAAAAUAUUUAUAACCUAAAAAGACGACAAGACCCUAUUGAACUUAACUUCAGUUAAACUGGGGCAGUUAAUCAAUUAGUACUUUAAUCUCACCAUAUCUUUAAAAGAUCUCUCACAGAGAUUCAAAUGACCAAGUUACCAUAGGGAUAACAGCGUAAUAAAUUUCUCAAGAUCUCAUUUAAAAUUAAGCUUACGACCUCGAUGUUGAAUUAAUAACCUAAUACAAUGAAAAAAUUUAUUAAGGAAGUCUGUUCGACUU
RNAcentral lists this ribosomal RNA (401 nucleotides) under Tegenaria ferruginea. RNAcentral's name for it is "partial 16S ribosomal RNA". The record is from RNAcentral. Lineage: Eukaryota; Metazoa; Arthropoda; Arachnida; Araneae; Agelenidae.